ACGCUGGCGGUAUGCCUAACACAUGCAAGNUCGAACGCGAACGGAAUCUUCGGAUUCCAAGUAGAGUGGCGCACGGGUGAGUAACACGUGGAUAAUCUGCCCUAAGGUCUGGGAUAACACUUCGAAAGGGGUGCUAAUACCGGAUGAGCUCACGCCUUCUUCGGAAGAAGUGAGAAAAGAUUUAUUGCCUUAGGAUGAGUCCGCGGUCCAUUAGCUAGUUGGUGGGGUAAUGGCCUACCAAGGCUGCGAUGGAUAGCUGGUCUGAGAGGAUGAUCAGCCACACUGGAACUGAGACACGGUCCAGACUCCUACGGGAGGCAGCAGUGGGGAAUUUUGCGCAAUGGGGGAAACCCUGACGCAGCAAUACCGCGUGAAGGAUGAAGGCCCUUGGGUCGUAAACCUCUGUUAAGAGGGACGAUGUCUGCCUUCGGGCGGAUGACGGUACCUCUAGAGAAAGCCCCGGCUAACUACGUGCCAGCAGCCGCGGUAAUACGAAGGGC
RNAcentral lists this ribosomal RNA (500 nucleotides) under uncultured delta proteobacterium. RNAcentral describes it as "bacterial SSU rRNA". It matches the Rfam family "Bacterial small subunit ribosomal RNA", at positions 33 to 533 of the family's 1533-position model. The record is from RNAcentral. Lineage: Bacteria; Deltaproteobacteria.